AGAUAUGAUCCAGAGUACCACGGGACACGUGAAACCCUGUGGGAAGCAGGAGGGACCACCCUCCAAGGCUAAAUACUACCUAGUGACCGAUAGCGUAUAGUACCGUGAGGGAAAGGUGAAAAGAACCCCGGGAGGGGAGUGAAAUAGAACCUGAAACCCUGCACUUACAAGCUGUGGAAGCACAUUUCUUGUGUGACCGCGUACUUUUUGUAGAACGGGCCAACGAGUUACGUU
Molecule: ribosomal RNA, 234 nt
Filed under: Clostridioides difficile
Lineage: Bacteria; Bacillati; Bacillota; Clostridia; Peptostreptococcales; Peptostreptococcaceae
Description: partial 23S ribosomal RNA
Rfam family: Bacterial large subunit ribosomal RNA
Source: RNAcentral